This 274-nucleotide ribosomal RNA is filed under the name uncultured bacterium. RNAcentral's name for it is "partial 16S ribosomal RNA". It matches the Rfam family "Bacterial small subunit ribosomal RNA", at positions 523 to 796 of the family's 1533-position model. The record is from RNAcentral.
AUACGGAGGGUGCAAGCGUUGUCCGGAUUUAUUGGGUUUAAAGGGUGUGUAGGCGGUGUAUUAAGUCAGUGGUGAAAGCCUGCGGCUCAACCGUAGAACUGCCAUUGAUACUGACACACUUGAGUUUGGUUGAGGUAGGCGGAAUUUAUGGUGUAGCGGUGAAAUGCAUAGAUACCAUAAAGAACACCGAUAGCGAAGGCAGCUUACUAAGCCGAAACUGACGCUGAGGCACGAAAGCGUGGGGAGCGAACAGGAGUAGAAACCCCUGUAGUCC